This 465-nucleotide ribosomal RNA is filed under the name uncultured bacterium. RNAcentral describes it as "bacterial SSU rRNA". It matches the Rfam family "Bacterial small subunit ribosomal RNA", at positions 926 to 1391 of the family's 1533-position model. The record is from RNAcentral.
CAAGCGGUGGAGCAUGUGGUUUAAUUCGAUGCAACGCGAAGAACCUUACCUACUCUUGACAUCCAGCGAACUUAGCAGAGAUGCUUUGGUGCCUUCGGGAACGCUGAGACAGGUGCUGCAUGGCUGUCGUCAGCUCGUGUUGUGAAAUGUUGGGUUAAGUCCCGCAACGAGCGCAACCCUUAUCCUUUGUUGCCAGCGAUACGGUCGGGGACUCAAAGGAGACUGCCGGUGAUAAACCGGAGGAAGGUGGGGAUGACGUCAAGUCAUCAUGGCCCUUACGAGUAGGGCUACGCACGUGCUACAAUGGCGCAUACAAAGAGAAGCGACCUCGCGAGAGCAAGCGGACCUCAGAAAGUGCGUCGUAGUCCGGAUCGGAGUCUGCAACUCGACUCCGUGAAGUCGGAAUCGCUAGUAAUCGUGGAUCAGAAUGCCACGGUGAAUACGUUCCCGGGCCUUGUACACACC